This 202-nucleotide long non-coding RNA is filed under the name Brassica napus (rape). Its description in RNAcentral is "long non-coding RNA (BNAP_LNC022826)". The record is from RNAcentral. Lineage: Eukaryota; Viridiplantae; Streptophyta; Magnoliopsida; Brassicales; Brassicaceae.
GGACAUCAGCAUUCAAAUACGCCCAUGUGUCUCUAACUUUUUGAUACUCAACGUACGCGUAAGGUAGAUCAUGCUGGACUAUAGUCUUAGCUACCAUCUGUCUGAACACAGUAUGAUCAUACUUGCGAGAUACUACUUUCCCUUCAGUAUUGAGUUGUUGCUGCCUCCCAGUAUUCCUUGGAUACAUUUUACAUCUCCCCCG